RNAcentral lists this ribosomal RNA (497 nucleotides) under uncultured bacterium. Its description in RNAcentral is "partial 16S ribosomal RNA". It matches the Rfam family "Bacterial small subunit ribosomal RNA", at positions 28 to 507 of the family's 1533-position model. The record is from RNAcentral.
GACGAACGCUGGCGGCGUGCCUAAUACAUGCAAGUAGAACGCUGAAGAGAGGAGCUUGCUCUUCUUGGAUGAGUUGCGAACGGGUGAGUAACGCGUAGGUAACCUGCCUUGUAGCGGGGGAUAACUAUUGGAAACGAUAGCUAAUACCGCAUACAAAUGGUUGCACAUUGCAAUUAUUUGAAAGGGGCAAUUUGUCCACUACAAGGUUGACCUUGCGUUGUAUUAGCUAGUAGGUGAGGUAAUGGCUCACCUAGGCGACGAUACAUAGCCGACCUGAGAGGGUGAUCGGCCACACUGGGACUGAGACACGGCCCAGACUCCUACGGGAGGCAGCAGUAGGGAAUCUUCGGCAAUGGGGGCAACCCUGACCGAGCAACGCCGCGUGAGUGAAGAAGGUUUUUGGAUCGUAAAGCUCUGUUGUAAGUCAAGAACGGGUGUGAGAGUGGAAAGUUCACACUGUGACGGUAGCUUACCAGAAAGGGACGGCUAACUACGUG